ACAUUGGUGGUUCAGUGGUAGAAUUCUUGUCUGCCAUGCAGGAGACCUGGGUUUGACUCUGGGACAAUGCA
This 71-nucleotide transfer RNA is filed under the name Loxodonta africana (African savanna elephant). It matches the Rfam family "tRNA". Rfam says of the family: Transfer RNA (tRNA) molecules are approximately 80 nucleotides in length. Their secondary structure includes four short double-helical elements and three loops (D, anti-codon, and T loops). Further hydrogen bonds mediate the characteristic L-shaped molecular structure. tRNAs have two regions of fundamental functional importance: the anti-codon, which is responsible for specific mRNA codon recognition, and the 3' end, to which the tRNAs corresponding amino acid is attached (by aminoacyl-tRNA synthetases). tRNAs cope with the degeneracy of the genetic code in two manners: having more than one tRNA (with a specific anti-codon) for a particular amino acid; and 'wobble' base-pairing, i.e. permitting non-standard base-pairing at the 3rd anti-codon position. The record is from Rfam by way of RNAcentral. Lineage: Eukaryota; Metazoa; Chordata; Mammalia; Proboscidea; Elephantidae.